UACGGAGGAGGCAAGCGUUAUCCGGAAUUAUUGGGCGUAAAGCGCACGUAGGCGGCUUAGCAAGUCGGAUGUGAAAUCCCUCGGCUCAACCAAGGAAGUGCAUCCGAAACUGCUGAGCUUGAGUACGAAAGAGGAUCGCGGAAUUCCCGGUGUAGAGGUGAAAUUCGUAGAUAUCGGGAGGAACACCAGUGGCGAAGGCGGCGAUCUGGGUCGAUACUGACGCUGAGGUGCGAAAGCGUGGGGAGCAAACAGG
This 253-nucleotide ribosomal RNA is filed under the name uncultured bacterium. Its description in RNAcentral is "partial 16S ribosomal RNA". It matches the Rfam family "Bacterial small subunit ribosomal RNA", at positions 524 to 776 of the family's 1533-position model. The record is from RNAcentral.